AACGACAUGACAACGACCGACCCCGCCGGCUCGAUGAUGGUAAGCGGAAAUGUAAACAAACGCGCCCGAAUGUUUGCCCAAGUAUUAACGCAGCAGGCGAGAGUGCGGGCUCAGAACAAGCUCGGUAGAGAUUCUGCGAGAGUGAUGAUUUGGCGCUUUUUGACACCGCGCUGUGCAGCAAUGGGAUUCGGGAAUGGGUUUCAACCCCUGAGGGAAUCCCAAACCAGGCAGGAAGCCAUUGCGCACCCCCCCAUCAUGCCGCUUAAGCCUUUCGAAUCGCUCGACGGAAAGGUUUCGCACACACGACGCAGGCGAGGAGCGAACGCACCGGACCGACAACAGCCCCUGAAGCGGGAAUGAUGGCAACUCGUCGUCGUUGCUGCCGUCGCCGCCACAUCGCCAACAACGGUGUUUCUGUACCCAUUGCUUCCAGGCCAGGCUUCUGCUCCCGGCAGCACCCACAGACCCUCGCUCUAGUUCAGGUUUCACCGAGCAAUGGUAUCAGGUUUUUGCUGUCUUUCUUAUUUUAAUUUUUAUUACAUAAAGUAUGCAUGCGUGUGUGCGUGAUGCAGUUGUCGUUCGAGUUGAGCUGGCACGGUGGAACUUCCACCGGCACGAUGCGCGCAUCAUAAGCGACCGCGCAUACGCCCGGUAGCAUGAUGUGGAGGACAACGCUUCGGUGGCUCUGCUCCACCUGGAGGGCGUCACACGCACACUCGCAUAGCGCCAACCGAUGUACCGAUGCUGGCGAAUUAUCAUAUCGGAGGCGAUGGCAUGGGGGUCAUCUGUUACAACGCGCCAGCAAGAUGACGGGGGAAGGUUAAUUCGCCUUUCACCAGCGCGUCAUACACGCACUCUUUUCGAUCUCGAUUGUGUGACCGCGAAAGAAUUGGACAUGGAUGUGUGUGUGUGUGUUCUUAGGCACGGGAAUGAUGGAUUGUGUGGCUGGUCUGGCCAGAAGUCGGAGGAGCCACGACACACGCACCAGCCACGACCACGAACGAACGGCGACCCGGUUUCGGCGGAAAGUGUUGCGGUCGAUUAGUCUGUGGUUUUGUGAAGCUGUUUGCAUGAGGGUUUAGGUGUUGUUUGUUGUGUCUUUCUCCCCGUUGGACAGCGGAAGUCAAGAACCUACCCGUCCCCGGGCAGGAGGUUGACCUUUGCAAUGGGAAGGAUUCCGAUGACUCCGUUGUUUGUGUAAUUGCGGAGUGAAGUUCAUCCUUAAAGUAAAUAUUCAUUCCAACUAGAACACUAAUGACACCGUUCACCGUUUUGUUAUCAGGCUGUGUGUUGUGACUUGGACGCUAGCUAGACGACACACAGUGUUGCUCCAGAGCGGUGUAAUGUUUCGCAAACAAUCGUAUCCGCUUCCAAGAAAGCUAGUAGUGUACUGUUGAUAGUGCAUCGUUCCUAUCGUUCGUGCUGCAUAUCGGACGGUGGUUUGCGGACGCUCAAAGGCUUUCGGUGCGACAAUACGGACCAAAACAUGUGUACGAAACUCGAUGAAACGUGCCGAUCGUGAGUAAUGUGGCGUGUUUUUGUGUUGUCCGAACGACUGAAGACUAAUGGAACAAUACCUGGAGAAAGAUGAAGCAUUGCCGCCGAUGCAGCAAAGAGCCUUUCCGCGGGCACAUCCCUGCAAUCAUCCCGCGUCGAUGGACACCCCGUAAUGAAGCUGUGUGAGUGGAUGUAUGUUUCCGUCCGUUGUUGGCAUAAAGUGUAAAUUAAUUUUGAAAAUAAUGUUACGAUCCCAAACAAACAGCCAAAACGAUCCCUUGCACUGCUGCCAGGUCAGUCCCUAACAAACAAAACAUUCACAAAAACUCGAGAAACUGAGCCUAUGUAAUGUGUUUUUAGGUCUCUUUAUUCGACCUCCUCCCGUACAAGUGCUCGGUGAAUCGUUGACCGAGUGAAAUAAAAAUCAACACCAAGCGCCUUAA
Long non-coding RNA from Anopheles arabiensis, 1940 nucleotides. RefSeq lists it as uncharacterized. The transcript has 6 exons. The record is from RefSeq and is a predicted model, not a curated record. Lineage: Eukaryota; Metazoa; Arthropoda; Insecta; Diptera; Culicidae.